RNAcentral lists this ribosomal RNA (584 nucleotides) under Vibrio sp. Vb285. RNAcentral describes it as "bacterial SSU rRNA". It matches the Rfam family "Bacterial small subunit ribosomal RNA", at positions 67 to 653 of the family's 1533-position model. Lineage: Bacteria; Pseudomonadati; Pseudomonadota; Gammaproteobacteria; Vibrionales; Vibrionaceae. The record is from RNAcentral.
CGGGUGCGUUAAUGGGCGUCGAGCGGCGGACGGGUGAGUAAUGCCUAGGAAAUUGCCUUGAUGUGGGGGAUAACCAUUGGAAACGAUGGCUAAUACCGCAUAAUGCCUACGGGCCAAAGAGGGGGACCUUCGGGCCUCUCGCGUCAAGAUAUGCCUAGGUGGGAUUAGCUAGUUGGUGAGGUAAUGGCUCACCAAGGCGACGAUCCCUAGCUGGUCUGAGAGGAUGAUCAGCCACACUGGAACUGAGACACGGUCCAGACUCCUACGGGAGGCAGCAGUGGGGAAUAUUGCACAAUGGGCGAAAGCCUGAUGCAGCCAUGCCGCGUGUAUGAAGAAGGCCUUCGGGUUGUAAAGUACUUUCAGUUGUGAGGAAGGGGGUAGCGUUAAUAGCGCURUCUCUUGACGUUAGCAACAGAAGAAGCACCGGCUAACUCCGUGCCAGCAGCCGCGGUAAUACGGAGGGUGCGAGCGUUAAUCGGAAUUACUGGGCGUAAAGCGCAUGCAGGUGGUUCAUUAAGUCAGAUGUGAAAGCCCGGGGCUCAACCUCGGAACUGCAUUUGAAACUGGUGAACUAGAGUACUGUA